Molecule: ribosomal RNA, 442 nt
Filed under: uncultured bacterium
Lineage: Bacteria
Description: partial 16S ribosomal RNA
Rfam family: Bacterial small subunit ribosomal RNA
Source: RNAcentral
CCUACGGGUGGCAGCAGUGGGGAAUAUUGCGCAAUGGGGGAAACCCUGACGCAGCAACGCCGCGUGAGUGAAGACGUAUCUCGGUAUGUAAAGCUCUAUCAGCGGGGAAGAAGGAAGACGGUACCCGACUAAGAAGCCCCGGCUAACUACGUGCCAGCAGCCGCGGUAAUACGUAGGGGGCGAGCGUUAUCCGGAUUUACUGGGUGUAAAGGGAGCGUAGACGGCGUCGCAAGUCUGAAGUGAAAGCCCGUGGCUCAACCGCGGAACCGCUUUGGAAACUGCGUGGCUGGAGUGCUGGAGAGGUAAGCGGAAUUCCUGGUGUAGCGGUGAAAUGCGUAGAUAUAUGGAAGAACACCAGUGGCGAAGGCGGCCGCCUGGCCUGUUAACUGACGCUGAGGCACGAAAGCGUGGGGAGCAAAUAGGAUUAGAUACCCUAGUAGUC